This 94-nucleotide non-coding RNA is filed under the name unclassified sequences. Its description in RNAcentral is "c-di-GMP sequence". It matches the Rfam family "c-di-GMP-II-GAG riboswitch aptamer". The record is from Rfam by way of RNAcentral.
GCACAAGGUAGAGGCCAACAACCCCCACCCAAGAAAACGGGCACCUAAUGGGGCCGGGGGAGAGCAGCCAGUGGUGCGACCGGCUACCGUGUAU